Molecule: ribosomal RNA, 357 nt
Filed under: Triticum aestivum (bread wheat)
Lineage: Eukaryota; Viridiplantae; Streptophyta; Magnoliopsida; Poales; Poaceae
Description: partial small subunit ribosomal RNA
Source: RNAcentral
AUGUUUUUCGUGCUUAUCCAUUUAACCGGAGUGUUGUGUUCUCAUUCAAGUUCUUUCAAGUUAUCAAGUUUUGCCUUUCUUUUCAACCCGAGUGCUGUCUGGAAUCCUUCUUACCCAUUGUGCCAUUCUUUCAAUAGUUUCGGAGGCAGUGUGUUGUUGAUUUCAUCAAGUAUCUUCCCAUCUUCUCAAGUUCAUGUUCUAUUCCUUCCAUGUUCAACCGGAGUGCUGCCCGAAUUCUUCCUCUCUCAUCUUGUUUUAACCGGAGUGGUUUCGAAUGCUAUCUUGUCCAUUAAACUCUUGAUUCAUGUCUUUGCAACCUUCAAGGUUCUCAUAAUGUUGCUUGUUCCUCGUGUUUAA